This is a long non-coding RNA of Leopardus geoffroyi (Geoffroy's cat), 4612 nucleotides long. RefSeq lists it as uncharacterized. Lineage: Eukaryota; Metazoa; Chordata; Mammalia; Carnivora; Felidae. The transcript is spliced from 6 exons. The record is from RefSeq and is a predicted model, not a curated record.
UAACGCUGAUGCCCAGAGGGACCCUGCAAGAUGUGGGCUGAAGACAACAGAAGCAUGACAGCUUGGAUCCCCGAAUGACUGUGUGGACCAGAGACUUCCACUGCCCCAUGGCACAAGCCCUACACUGCGCAUGACAGUGACCACGUCUGAGCCACCACAUUGGGUCCAUUUGUAGCUGCAGCUUACCUACUCUAAAGCACCACCUCUGGUAGCCAGGAUUCUGACUACGUGUUGGUUGAUGCUCGAACGGAUUUUUGAGCCACCAUCGAAUCAUUUCUGAGGUCCGUCCACCGAGAUCAAGUCCCAUAAAGCAGGGAAAUCAUUUCCAUUGAUGACGAAUAGGUUGCCUUUUUGUGUUACCUUCACUUGGACACAUCCCACUGGAAGUCCUGGCUUUCAAAGGAUCAUUUCAGGCCAUCGGUAACGGAUUAUGAACCGUAGUCCACGAAGGAGCAGGCUUGUUGGGAGACAGUUGUCGACUCUUCAGGACCUGCUCAGUAACACAAACAGUGUUCCCGCAGCCAGUUUUCAGCUACACAUACUGAGGCUGCCUCUACAGAAGUUCCCGAAAGGAGUCCAGACAGACGAGCGCUAACCUGCCUCAAUGGACAAAGAAAGAAGAGACUCCAGGACGGCAUCCAUUUCUGGGACGUGGUCGGUCCUCCGGAUGACAACUCAGCACGGACGAUACGUCUAUGGAAGCCCUGAUGGAUUCUGAGCAGAGGACUCCACUGUGCCUGAACUCCUCACCCACAGAAACCGUGAGACCACACGUGUGUGUUAGUUUAAGUCUGAGGUAAGGUACCGUCUCUGCCAGGGCAGGGAGUGCCAUUUGCUUGCUGCUACCUUCUUAGUUUGGUGGGUGGCCCUGCACACAAGGGGUACUAGUAAUGAUAGCUGAAAGGGCAUGACUGGUUGCAUGAUGAAGAGUAACUGUGACGAGGGAAGAAGGGAGAAGUCGUGGCCUGGAAAGUAAUAGCUUUGCAUUCUGGAAAGGACUUGGUGUUGUUGCUGAAUGUUUUCUGAAGCUGUGGCAAUCUCGAAGACAAACACAGUUCUAGCAUGAACUGAUUCAUGUUCGCCGAACAGGUUGGCACUCUGGACCUCGAAUACGAGGGUCAGAACCCCAUUUAUGCCACUUAUGAACCUUGAAGCUCUCCUCCCGUUGUAGCUUCCUUGGUCUCCAUCUCCUUAUUUGGAUGAUGCAGAUAAUAAUACUUCACAGGAACAGGAUUAAGCCAACUAUGCAAUGGAAAGGCAUCCCCCAAAGCACCUCAGGCCAUGUGGUUUGACUUCCUUCUUUUCUCCCGCAGCCAAUCCUCAACUAUGGUUCUCCUGAAAACAAAAUGAGUCUAGUACCUUCUAUUCCAUGCAUGUUAUGGAUUUUAUUCUUAUUAUUUUUAUUACUCAUGGAGAAAGGCAACAAACCAGAAGCUCCCUGAGCUGAGGGAGGUUCCAGAAGAUGAAGAUCUCUCUGUCUCCUUCUCUAUCCCUAGUGGCCUUCCAAAUUAUAAGGCACAGCAUUUUGCACAUAGGUUACAUUCAUUCAUGUAAUCAUCCAUCCAAUAAAUAUACAUUGAAAACAUCAUUUAUGCCAAGCAUAUAAAAUAGAAAAAUAACUAUAAUUCUUCAAAGAGAUCUGUAUGGUUCCAAGAGUUAAUGUUUUGCUUUGAUUUUCUGUAGCUGUAUCAGCAACAGAAUUCUGCAGCGUAAGAGAUGAUGGUCAGACCAGAGUGAGCCAGGAUGUUACCUUAAUUGAAGCAUCAUUCACACUUAUAAGAUGAACACUGUUUUAAUAGGUAAGACCCUAUCUUCCUACACCUAUAGGAAGAUCUGAAAGCAGAUGGUUUGCAUAUUUCUCAGUGAGAGACGGAGAUAGAGAAUCCCAAGCAGGCUCCGCACUGUCAGCACAGAGCCUGAUGUAGGGCUCAAACUCAUGAACCAUGAGAUCAUGACCUGAGCCAAAAUCAAGAGUCAGAUGCUUAACCAACUGAGCCACGUAGGUACCCCUUAAAGAAUUAUAUGUGAAUUCAACGGAUACCAUGGUUUUAAUUCAACUAAUACCAUGGUUUGCUCAAGAAGGAAAAUGAGAAACAUUCAUUUUUUUUUCUACAGAAGAAGGAAGGCAGAGUUCGGCCCACAAUGAAUUUACAUCAAAAAUAAAAAUUAAAUAUAAGUGGGAGUCUAAAAAGAACCCUUGACAAGAUAUAUGUAGGGACCUAUAACUCUAAACCAUUAGAAAAGACAAAUGUCAAACACUUGAACGUAUCUUUAUUCCCAUCUAUUUUUCAUUCUUAUCAAACUAAAUAGAUUUCAUUGAGUUAUUUAAUUCCAAUGACAAUAACACUGAGCAAACACAGAAGUCAUAAAUCACCUCUCUACUAACUGAAAUCGUAUAUUCACCAGAGUAUUUUAUGUAGAGUGUAAAGGAAAUUCACAAUUUGUUCACAUUCUCCACGACUGAAAAAUAGAAAAGGUGAAUCUUCUUCUUUGCGGCUCUCAGUGCACCUCUGGGGUCUUAGAGCCAUUGUUUUACCAGCACAUUCUGAUUCCAUUAAUGACUUAAGUCCACAGUACAAGGUGCUUUUGAAUCCAUUUGAAUGGCAAUUUGAGAUUUCAUUGUUGUAAUAAGAUGCCUCUGUGUACUUUCCUUUCAUAAAAGUGGAAAGAAAGGAAGGCUUUUUGAAACAAAAUGAACAAUGGAGAGAGCAGGCGGACGUUAAUCUUGACUUCCAAGCUGUACCGAAUCCCCGAGUUCCAGAAUCAACACUGACGGCUCUCAGAGAGUGGGCUUGAAGAAUGUGGCUUCUUGCAGAAUUCUCCAGAUCCUCAGUUGGAGGGCUUUCCUGCAGCAAUCUGAUGUAUUCUGUGAACCUAGCUCCCAUCUACCACACCCCCAAAACUAUGAGCUCACUGCCUCUCUCUCUCUGUUUUUUUUUUUUUUUUUUUUUACUUUCUUGGAGAAUCUGGGCUGUAGAAAAACCAGUAAAAACAUUUACAUCUCACUGUUGGAGCGCUCGAUGUUGAAACACUCAUUUUACAACUCAACCCACUGCUUAAAUUGCACUGUGAAGAUUGCAGAGAUUAAAUUAUAACUCCCAGGAGCAUCCACAGUCUAGAACUUAAUGAAGGAGAAGGGUCCAUUGAGAUAUAUAUCUUUUAUAUUGCUUCUAGCCAAAACAGCUCAUGGCCGAUCCAUCUAGAAGUUCUUAAAAAAAAAAAAAAAAAAAAAAAAAAAAGCAAGAGUAUAAUGGCACAGGGAGUUACAUAAUUCUGCAGGUUAUUUUUAGAAUCAUUUCCAUGCUGUGAAAAAUACCGGAGGAGAGACUUCCAUUAAUAAUGUGUGUCUAGCUACCUAGGAACACACUGAACGUUCUGAGCGGUGGGGUGUGCUUCUAUGGACCUCCCAGAAAAGCCUUGCAGAAGACUGUCCUUUCUGCAGCAUUUCAUGUCGGACAGUGCAUGGCAAAAGUCAUAUGGUUUUCAUCCCCUCCUUUUAGGCGUGGGAGUCAUCGCAAAAAGGAGGGGGCUGAUUCAGGCUGCCAAUAGUUGCCCAAAGCCUUUCUCCUCACCAAUUCUGCACUGACAGCGUCUCUCUUUUCCUGCAUCCAUACCAAACCGAUAUUGCUCCGCACCUGUCUUUCAUUCAGUCUUCCCAAGAUAAGGUAGAGAAUCUAUAAAUAUCACCACAGUUUCACAUUUCACUUUGUCCUUAGGGUAUCUUUCCCCCCACAAAGCCUGCUUUCUUUUGAGAAGAGCCUGAUUUCUCCCCGAGCCAGGAGGCAUGAGCUAAUCAACAGAGUUGUUCCACGGUCACCGUGCCUUUUAGGACGUUGCGGGAAACACACAACCACAACUGCCAGGUUCAGUGUUUGCUAGCGGUUGCAGGGACAUGAACUGCACCGCCACAGAUGGAGAUGUGCACAGGGUCUCCCAGUGCAGGUAAUAAGCAGGAACGGAAAGGACACUGGGAAACUCCACAAUAUCUUUAUGGUGAAUGCUUCCCUCCCCUGAUUCCAGAGACCAAAGCAACAUAGCUCAGUAGGGCUGAGACUAGGGAUGUCAGACAAACUUUCUUCUUUCUCUGGGUAUGCAAACUUUGGGGUUCACAGGGGUGGAGAGGAAGCAGCUCAGCCCCUGCCGAUGUCUGCAUCAAGGGGCCCAGCCAAUGCAGAGUGACUUUAAGACUGCCUUGCUCACUCCCACGUCUGGGUAUAUAUCCAAAGGAAAUGCAGUCAGGAUCCCAAAGAGACACCUGCACCCCCGAGUUCAUUGCAGCAUUAGUCACAAUAGCCAACAGUUGGGAACACCCCGAAAGUCCACAGACAGAUGAGUGGAUAAAGAAGAUGUGGUGUUUAUCCAUACGAUGGGAUAUUAAUCCACCUUACAAAGAAAGAAAUCCUGCCAUUUAUGACAGCAUGGAUGAACUUGGAGGACAUUAUGCUCAGUGACAUAAGCCAGACACAGAAAGACAAAUACUGCACGAUCUUCCUUUCAUGUGGCAUCUAAAAGAGCCUCACAGGAAGAGCAGGUAGAAUGGUGGAGAAUAUAUAGUUUAUUUAUUUUUAGAGAGAGAGAGUUAGAGAAAGAGCACGAGGAGGGGAAGGGCAGA